GUGGGGAAUAUUCCGCAAUGGACGAAAGUCUGACGGAGCAACGCCGCGUGAGUGAUGAAGGUUUUCGGACUGUAAAGCUCUGUUGUUUAGGACGAAAGUGCCUGUUGCAAAUAGUUACAGGUAUUGACGGUACUGAACGAGGAAGCCACGGCUAACUACGUGCCAGCAGCCGCGGUAAUACGUAGGUGGCAAGCGUUGUCCGGAAUUAUUUGGCGUAAAGAGCAUGUAGGCGGGAAUCUAAGUCUGUUGUGAAAAUGCGGGGCUCAACCCCGUAUUGCGAUGGAAACUGGGUUUCUUGAGUGCAGGAGAGGAAAGGGGAAUUCCCAGUGUAGCGGUGAAAUGCGUAGAUAUUGGGAGGAACACCAGUGGCGAAGGCGCCUUUCUGGACUGUGUCUGACGCUGAGAUGCGAAAGCCAGGGUAGCGAACGGGAUUAGAAACCCUUGUAGUCC
This 450-nucleotide ribosomal RNA is filed under the name uncultured bacterium. Its description in RNAcentral is "partial 16S ribosomal RNA". It matches the Rfam family "Bacterial small subunit ribosomal RNA", at positions 354 to 796 of the family's 1533-position model. The record is from RNAcentral.